Molecule: long non-coding RNA, 632 nt
Organism: Oryzias latipes (Japanese medaka)
Lineage: Eukaryota; Metazoa; Chordata; Actinopteri; Beloniformes; Adrianichthyidae
Source: RefSeq, a predicted model, not a curated record
AUUCUGACUUUAAUCUCAGAAUUCUGACUUUAAACUCAGAAUUCUGACUUUAAUCUCAGAACUACGGAGGCCUGUGAGCUACUUCCUUCAGUUAGCUUUAGCAGCACUGUGGAGUCAUACAUGCUGAGUGGAACUAACGAAAAUGUCCUCUUUAAGUUUCUCGUUGCGUGCUGAAGUUUACCAAAAGGCCAGUGUGUUAACAGAAGCUGACAUGCAGAAAAAUGGAACUCCACAUGCCAAGACUUAAUUUGGAGAAAAAGAAGAUGAUUGACCGUGAUGUCAUCGCUUUGGAGGAUGAUGCAGCUCUGGGACAGACACAACACACACAAUCACCAUUCACACACUUUACAUUAAUCAACUAUAAUGCUUUUUGGACUGAUGGAAGAAGCUGCCGGAAGGUCAUGUAUGCAGGAGAACAUGCUAACUCCACACAGGACCCUUUUGGGAUUUGAAGCCCUCUUGCUAUGAGGCACGCCUGCUAACCAGUACGUCAUUGUGCAGCUGAGAGAAGUUUAUUUUGAAAAUAAGACCAUUCUAAGUUGGAAGCAGUUAUUAGAAACAACAUUAAUUUGAGUUUAUUGUUUCAAUCAUGGUCAAUUGGAACAUACUUCCUUCAACACAGGAACAGCACA